CCUGCCCUGUACACACGGAUAACAUACCGAAAGGUAUGCUAAUACGAGAUAAUAUGCUUUUAUCGCAUGGUAGAAGUAUCAAAGCUCCGGCGGUACAGGAUGGACCCGCGUCUGAUUAGCUAGUUGGUGAGGUAACGGCUCACCAAGGCGACGAUCAGUAGCCGACCUGAGAGGGUGAUCGGCCACAUUGGAACUGAGACACGGUCCAA
This 209-nucleotide ribosomal RNA is filed under the name uncultured Clostridiaceae bacterium. Its description in RNAcentral is "partial 16S ribosomal RNA". It matches the Rfam family "Bacterial small subunit ribosomal RNA", at positions 125 to 334 of the family's 1533-position model. Lineage: Bacteria; Bacillati; Bacillota; Clostridia; Eubacteriales; Clostridiaceae. The record is from RNAcentral.